ACCCCAUGGAGCUUUAAACCCAACAGCACCUAUUCUUUUUAAAUCCACUUAUUCUUAUAGUAAGUGCUUGCUUGGUUUUAGGUUGGGGUGACCGCGGAGUAAAAAUGAGCCUCCACGAAAAAAGGCAUAAAAGCCUUAUCAAAGAAUCACACUUCUAUGAAUUAGUAAACUAAUUUUUGAUGAUCCGAUAUUCGAUCAACGAACCAAGUUACCCUGGGGAUAACAGCGCAAUCCACCUCAAGAGCUCCUAUCGACAAGUGGGUUUACGACCUCGAUGUUGGAUCAGGGUACCCCAGUGGUGCAGCAGCUACUAAAGGUUCGUUUGUUCAACGAUUAAAACCCU
Molecule: ribosomal RNA, 343 nt
Filed under: Boophis narinsi
Lineage: Eukaryota; Metazoa; Chordata; Amphibia; Anura; Mantellidae
Description: partial 16S ribosomal RNA
Rfam family: Bacterial large subunit ribosomal RNA
Source: RNAcentral